This 327-nucleotide ribosomal RNA is filed under the name uncultured eukaryote. RNAcentral's name for it is "partial 18S ribosomal RNA". It matches the Rfam family "Eukaryotic small subunit ribosomal RNA", at positions 1470 to 1796 of the family's 1831-position model. The record is from RNAcentral.
CCCUUAGAUGUUCUGGGCCGCACGCGCGCUACACUGAUUCAUGCACUAAGUAUAUAACCUUGGUAGAAAUGCUUGGGUAAUCUUCGAAACUGAAUCGUGCUGGGGAUUGGAGCUUGUAAUUAUUCUCCAUGAACGAGGAAUUCCUAGUAAACGCGAGUCAUCAGCUCGCAUUGAUUACGUCCCUGCCCUUUGUACACACCGCCCGUCGCACCUACCGAUUGGAUGGUCCGGUGAAGCCUCGGGAUUGUGGUUCUUGCCGCUUUAUUGAGGCGUGACCGCGAGAACUUGUCUAAACCUUAUCAUCUAGAGGAAGGUGAAGUCGUAACA